Molecule: long non-coding RNA, 646 nt
Filed under: Brassica napus (rape)
Lineage: Eukaryota; Viridiplantae; Streptophyta; Magnoliopsida; Brassicales; Brassicaceae
Description: long non-coding RNA (BNAP_LNC004281)
Source: RNAcentral
AAUUUCCCCCUUCUUUUUCUCAUAUGAUCAUUAACCAAACUUACAAAAUAGAAAUUUCUCUUUCCAGCAUUUUUUUUUUUUUUCUGAUUAUCAUUAGUAACUAGUGUAACAGAGUCGUAUGCAAAAUAUGUAGAUAUUCCAACUAUUCUGAGACUGAGUUGCAUAUAUGUAAGCACGGUUCACUCUUUGAAAAUACAAAAACAUUCCAGUCCUCUUUCUCUAUAACCUAUGAGAUUUUUUUAAUGUUUUGAAUAUUCUUCGUAAUACUUUUGGGUUUUACAAUAAUGUAUUAUUAUCCUUAGUGAACAAGUUCAUAGCGACUUGGUUCACAAGCUAUUAGUUUUAGUAGUAAGUCUACAUUUUCUAGAAGCUUCUUUGACACGGCAAUAUUUUUACCCUUAUAGCAACUAAGGCUUAAACUAAAUUAACUACGUUCUUGAAUGGUAACUGCAGUAUCAACGAAAGCUGAAGGUAUUUGUAUACUUCAUUGGGUUGUACUUGUCACAAAUCAACAAGAAAUAUAUCAGAAAUAUAUUUAGUAAAAAAAGAAACAUUUUUUUUAAUAAAAAAACCAAGAAACAUUAAUUUUGGUAUUUGUUUAGAAUUCUUUAUAAUAUUAUUUAACAAAUUAAUUUUUUAUCGCGCU